This 2152-nucleotide ribosomal RNA is filed under the name human gut metagenome. RNAcentral's name for it is "bacterial LSU rRNA". It matches the Rfam family "Bacterial large subunit ribosomal RNA", at positions 790 to 2925 of the family's 2925-position model. The record is from RNAcentral.
UGAAAAGCUUUCGGAUGAGAUGUGGGUAGGGGUGAAAUUCCAAUCGAACGCGGAGAUAGCUGGUUCUCCCCGAAAUAGCUUUAGGGCUAGCCUGAGGUAGUAAGUAUAGGCGGUAGAGCACUGAUCGGGCUAGGGGCCGUAAAGGUUACCGAACCCUGUCAAACUCCGAAUGGAUAUACUGUAGAGCCUUGGAGUCAGACUACGAGUGAUAAGAUCCGUGGUCAAAAGGGAAACAGCCCAGACCACCAGCUAAGGUCCCCAAUGUCGUACUAAGUGGAAAAGGAUGUGGGGUUUCAUAAACAACCAGGAUGUUGGCUCAGAAGCAGCCACCAUUUAAAGAGUGCGUAAUAGCUCACUGGUCGAGAGACCCUGCGCCGAAGAUUCCCGGGGCUAAAGUACGAAACCGAAGCUGUGGCUGUAUACGUAAAGUAUACGGGGUAGGGGAGCGUUCCCAUAGGGUAGAAGUCGAACUGGAAGGUUCGGUGGACUUGUGGGAAGUGAGAAUGUUGGUAUGAGUAGCGAAAAGAAAGGUGAGAAUCCUUUCCACCGAAAGCAUAAGGAUUCCUGAGCAACGAUCGUCGUCUCAGGGUAAGUCGGGACCUAAUCCGAGGCAGAGAGCGUAGGAGAUGGACAACUGGUUGAUAUUCCAGUACCGGUAGUAAUUGUUUGAGCAAUGGAGUGACACAGAAGGGCAGGCAAGCAUGCGAAUGGAAGAGCAUGUGUAAGCGUGUAGGGUGGUGCAUAGGCAAAUCCGUGCACUGAAAGCCUGAGGCGUGAUGCGGAGUGAGCAGAGAUGCGAGCGAAGUUGUUGACCCCACACUGUCGAGAAAAGCUUCUAGUGAGAGAGCUACCGCCCGUACCGUAAACCGACACAGGUAUGCGGGGAGAGAAUCCUAAGGUGCGCGGGAGAACCCUCGUUAAGGAACUCGGCAAAAUGUACCCGUAACUUCGGGAUAAGGGUAGCCACUGUUGUGAAGUCCCAUGCGGAUGGAGCAUAGAGUGGUCGCAGAGAAGAGGCCCAAGCGACUGUUUACCAUAAACACAGGUGCCUGCUAAAGCGAAAGCUGACGUAUAGGUGCUGACACCUGCCCAGUGCCGGAAGGUUAAGGAAGGAUGUUCGGAUUAGUCCAAAGCAUUCGACUGAAGCCCCGGUGAACGGCGGCCGUAACUAUAACGGUCCUAAGGUAGCGAAAUUCCUUGUCGGGUAAGUUCCGACCCGCACGAAAGGUGUAACGAUUUGGGCACUGUCUCAACGAGGGACCCGGUGAAAUUGAAAUACCUGUGAAGAUGCAGGUUACCCGCGACUGGACAGAAAGACCCCAUGGAGCUUUACUGUAACCUGACAUUGGGUUUUGAUACAUUACGUACAGGAUAGGUGGGAGGCAUGGAAAGCUGGACGCUAGUCUGGCUGGAGCCGACGUUGGGAUACCACCCUUGAUGUAUUGAAAUUCUAACCGCGAGAGUAACGAAAUCCGGGACAGUGUCAGGCGGGCAGUUUGACUGGGGCGGUCGCCUCCGAAAGAGUAACGGAGGCGCCCAAAGGUUCCCUCAGCGCGGCCGGAAAUCGCGCGAAGAGUGUAAAGGCAGAAGGGAGCUUGACUGCGAGUCAAACACGACGAGCAGGUACGAAAGUAGGGCUUAGUGAUCCGGUGGUACCGAGUGGAAGGGCCAUCGCUCAACGGAUAAAAGCUACCCUGGGGAUAACAGGCUAAUCUCUCCCAAGAGUCCAUAUCGACGGGGAGGUUUGGCACCUCGAUGUCGGCUCAUCACAUCCUGGGGCUGAAGUCGGUCCCAAGGGUUGGGCUGUUCGCCCAUUAAAGUGGUACGUGAGCUGGGUUCAGAACGUCGUGAGACAGUUCGGUCCCUAUCCAUCGCGGGCGCAAGAGAUUUGAAGGGGGCUGCUCCUAGUACGAGAGGACCGGAGUGGACGAACCGCUGGUGUACCAAUUAUCCCGCCAGGGGUACAGUUGGGUAGCUACGUUCGGAAAGGAUAAACGCUGAAAGCAUCUAAGCGUGAAACCAGCCUUAAGAUGAGAUCUCUCAUAGAGCAAUCUAGUAAGACACCUUAAAGAAGAUGAGGUUGAUAGGUCGGGAGUGUAAGUACAGCAAUGUAUUGAGCGGACCGAUACUAAUAUGUCGAGGGCUUGACUUA